CAGCCGCCGCGGGAAUACGAAGGGUGCAAGCGUUAAUCGGAAUUACUGGGCGUAAAGCGCGCGUAGGUGGUUUGGUAAGAUGGAUGUGAAAUCCCCGGGCUCAACCUGGGAACUGCAUCCAUAACUGCCUGACUAGAGUACGGUAGAGGGUGGUGGAAUUUCCUGUGUAGCGGUGAAAUGCGUAGAUAUAGGAAGGAACACCAGUGGCGAAGGCGACCACCUGGACUGAUACUGACACUGAGGUGCGAAAGCAUGGGGAGCAAACAGGAUUAGAUACCCGAGUAGUCCCUGUCUCUUAUAC
This 301-nucleotide ribosomal RNA is filed under the name uncultured bacterium. RNAcentral describes it as "partial 16S ribosomal RNA". It matches the Rfam family "Bacterial small subunit ribosomal RNA", at positions 509 to 807 of the family's 1533-position model. The record is from RNAcentral.